This 253-nucleotide ribosomal RNA is filed under the name uncultured bacterium. Its description in RNAcentral is "partial 16S ribosomal RNA". It matches the Rfam family "Bacterial small subunit ribosomal RNA", at positions 524 to 776 of the family's 1533-position model. The record is from RNAcentral.
UACGGGGGGGGCAAGCGUUGUUCGGAAUUACUGGGCGUAAAGGGCUCGUAGGCGGCCAACUAAGUCGGACGUGAAAUCCCCAGGCUCAACCUGGGAACUGCGUCCGAUACUGGAUGGCUUGAAUCCGGGAGAGGGAUGCAGAAUUCCAGGUGUAGCGGUGAAAUGCGUAGAUAUCUGGAGGAAUACCGGUGGCGAAGGCGGCAUCCUGGACCGGCAUUGACGCUGAGGGGCGAAAGCCAGGGGAGCAAACGGG